RNAcentral lists this ribosomal RNA (492 nucleotides) under uncultured bacterium. Its description in RNAcentral is "partial 16S ribosomal RNA". It matches the Rfam family "Bacterial small subunit ribosomal RNA", at positions 29 to 507 of the family's 1533-position model. The record is from RNAcentral.
AGUGAACGCUGGCGGUAGGCCUAACACAUGCAAGUCGAACGGCAGCACAGUAAGAGCUUGCUCUUACGGGUGGCGAGUGGCGGAUGGGUGAGGAAUACAUCGGAAUCUACUUUUUCGUGGGGGAUAACGUAGGGAAACUUACGCUAAUACCGCAUACGACCUACGGGUGAAAGCAGGGGAUCUUCGGACCUUGCGCGAUUGAAUGAGCCGAUGUCGGAUUAGCUAGUUGGCGGGGUAAAGGCCCACCAAGGCGACGAUCCGUAGCUGGUCUGAGAGGAUGAUCAGCCACACUGGAACUGAGACACGGUCCAGACUCCUACGGGAGGCAGCAGUGGGGAAUAUUGGACAAUGGGCGCAAGCCUGAUCCAGCCAUACCGCGUGGGUGAAGAAGGCCUUCGGGUUGUAAAGCCCUUUUGUUGGGAAAGAAAAGCAGCAGGUUAAUACCCCGCUGUUCUGACGGUACCCAAAGAAUAAGCACCGGCUAACUUGGUG